GCACACAGGCAGAACCUCAUUAGGCACUGAGAAACAGAUGCAGUUAAAACAUUUCACUUGUGUGUUGCGCUGAGAAGAAAUACAAAGACAGGGAAUGUCGACAUGAAAUCCUGAGGACAGUCUCAGAGAAGCCGGGGCUGUCACUGCUCCUGUGCCGUCAGAAUGCCAUCAGAACCGUCCUGAGAAUCGGGACCCGUUUUAAGAAAAUGCACACAGCUGCUGGACAGAUAAGAGACGGUGACCAAGGGGACAGGAUGCAGAGCGCCCUCUCAGCUAUCCCGAGGCCCCUUCUUGCCAGGCUUACAGGUCUCCUGGAUGUCAAGCUGGGACCAGGAGAGGGACAGCGGCAGAGCAGUGCCAGUGUGCUGUCCCCCCAUCCUUAAAUCCUGUCACCUCCUCUCCAGGAGGGGGAUCUGUCAAGGUGACAUGUGGGUGAAGCAUUUAAAAUGGGUUUGGCUAAACUGGUGAAAUGGUUUUUAUAUCUAAACUGCUUUCUGUUGUUGGAGAAAAUAAAUAUAUUGUGAACUGGUUA
This is a long non-coding RNA of Bubalus bubalis (water buffalo), 532 nucleotides long. RefSeq lists it as uncharacterized. The record is from RefSeq and is a predicted model, not a curated record. NCBI's taxonomy places the organism in Eukaryota, Metazoa, Chordata, Mammalia, Artiodactyla, Bovidae. The transcript is spliced from 2 exons.